RNAcentral lists this microRNA (21 nucleotides) under Bombyx mori (domestic silkworm). RNAcentral's name for it is "bmo-miR-13a-5p". Its record names the gene bmo-miR-13a-5p. Lineage: Eukaryota; Metazoa; Arthropoda; Insecta; Lepidoptera; Bombycidae. The record is from miRBase by way of RNAcentral.
CCUGUCAAAGCGGCGGUGAAA